Molecule: long non-coding RNA, 710 nt
Organism: Hirundo rustica (Barn swallow)
Lineage: Eukaryota; Metazoa; Chordata; Aves; Passeriformes; Hirundinidae
Exons: 3
Source: RefSeq, a predicted model, not a curated record
CUCUGGAGAUGAUGACCUGGAAUGCAAAGCCUCCUUCUUUGUGUGGUCUUGUGCCUAUACAUGCUGCACAAGCCUAAUGCUAGUCCUGCUAGAGGAGGCACGCCACUUCUUUCCCAGGGAUUUUUAUUACCUCUGUGCAGUAAAUGUUGACAAACAUUUACAUUUUUGAAAAAUUAUGAGCACUGUGUUUGUGAACUUGGAGACAUCGCUGUUCCCAACAACUGGUCAUUAAUCAAAGCUGUGGUGAAGAAAUUCAGACUCAGUGGAGGAAUGAAGUCAUUAGAGAUGGACUCAAACCAGAGUGUGACACAUUCCUCAGAGGUGGAGAGAUGCUUCUUCCACUCCACCGAGGACACCUGAGGGAAACAUCAGAGCCUGGACAUUGAAACAUUUCAGAAGGCAAGGUUCAUGUCUCUGACUUCAGUCAAAACUGAGCGUGAGUGCUCAUUAAAUAUUAAAUAAUAGUACAGUUCAGAUCUGAAUCCAAACUUCUCAUCUUGCACCAUUCCAGCUAAGCUGGUUAUGAACGGGAACAUGGCUCGGAAACCCCUUUGAACUUUGGAGGAAUUUUGGUUCUGGAUCUAAAAGCUGAGUUCAGUAGUGUGUAGCAAAAGGGAAGCAUGAAAGGAAAUAAUUCAGGAUUAUUUUUGUAACAUAUUCAAGUAAACAACAGAGGAAAAAAAGUCAAGUCAUCUGUGACUUGUAUUCCA